Long non-coding RNA from Lotus japonicus, 1439 nucleotides. RefSeq lists it as uncharacterized. The record is from RefSeq and is a predicted model, not a curated record. The transcript has 4 exons. Lineage: Eukaryota; Viridiplantae; Streptophyta; Magnoliopsida; Fabales; Fabaceae.
GUGGAAGUUUUGUUCUGAAAACGUUAUUCAAACCCCCCCUUUCUACCGUUUUUCAUACCUUCAAGAAGAACCGCGGCAACCGUCGCGAACUCAUCGGAGGAUAGUGUUCUUCCCUCUCCUCUGAACAUGCGCGCCUUCAUGCCGAAUUGCUCCGCCGUGGAAUCGUCGUAUCUAAAGCAUGGCAGCGAGCACAUAAUUGAAAAUGAUUAAGGAUCUAUGGAGUCUGAAAUUGGUGUUCCUGGUUAAACCUUUCCCAAGUGGGCAACGGAUAUAGCUCUACGACUUGGGGUUGGGGUUCCAUUCAAUUGUGCAAGCAAGAUGAUACUCCUGAUACUGUUCGCUGGAGGAGGAGGGAUCGUGGGAGGUGGUGAUUCCACGGCAUAUAUGAGCGCACAUGGAAGGGGUAGAGGAGGGGAGAUUGAGAGAGAUGUGUCUUCCAUGGCAGCAUCUUUGGAGUCUUGAGGUCCAAGGUUUGUGGUUUAAGUUAAUGUCUUGGCUGCCUGAGUAAUUUAUUCCCUUGGAUUUGAGCCUAAUUGUUCUUCUUGUUUUUGGGUGGUGUAGGAUUUUGUUCUUGUCAUUUUCUAUUUUCCUUUCAUGUAUGUACUCAAGUUGAAAGCUCCUGGGUCAUUUUCACUCGCUUGGCCCAAUUUUCUUAUGUGUAUUUGAUUUUUAUUAUAUGAAAACUCAGUUCAAUUAGUUCUGGUUUUGUGAGAAACGACUAUAAUGACUUAUAUCUAUCUUAUCCCUGCAUUGGCUGGUUGCUUGGGUUUGUAUAUAUUAGUUUGCUUUCUGAAGGGUAAUCCUUUAACAUAAAUGGAAAGACAAACUGUGUGAACUUCGUCAAAGAGUUAAGUGGGAUAUGAACUUCAAAAUUAAGAUGUAACAUAUUUCCUUUACACCACAUACUCUAUUAUUCAUACUCCAUUCAAUUAUUUCUUUUGUGAUUAAUCUCAAGUAGUAAUUGACCUAUGAAGAAAUUAAAAUUCAUUCAGGGAUUUUAUCUUACAACAAUUUUACGAAGUCUUCUGCAUCUAGCUUCUAGCUCUUGGAUCUGUAUGGUUCUCUUUGUCUAGCAUUAUUUAAGCAUUUCACAUAUGUCGAUAGUUACUUACUCUACUAAACUGAGCAUGAAUUUGGCUUCAAGCCAUUCUUCUUCAAUGGUUACUUCACCUUCGUAAGUUCUUUGCUUAUUUUUCUAUUGUCUUAUCAAUCUUGACUCGUAUGCUGAAACUCCUUAUUGUUCAUCUUAUAAAACUUUUUGUUUGAAGAUAAACUUACCUUCUGUUGUAAAACCCCAGUACGUAUGAUUGUUGAUAUUUAGAAAGUUGAAGCUGAUUCAAGAUAGUGAAGGAGAUUUUUGGCCAGUAUACAAGUAUUUUCAGGAAAACUAGUAGAGUAUGAUGAGCCAAUGAACCUGAUGAAGAGAGAAUGUUUGUUGC